UCAGAGGGGGAUAACACUUGGAAACAGGUGCUAAUACCGCAUAACAGUUUAUGCCGCAUGGCAUAAGAGUGAAAGGCGCUUUCGGGUGUCGCUGAUGGAUGGACCCGCGGUGCAUUAGCUAGUUGGUGAGGUAACGGCUCACCAAGGCCACGAUGCAUAGCCGACCUGAGAGGGUGAUCGGCCACACUGGGACUGAGACACGGCCCAG
This 208-nucleotide ribosomal RNA is filed under the name uncultured bacterium. RNAcentral's name for it is "partial 16S ribosomal RNA". It matches the Rfam family "Bacterial small subunit ribosomal RNA", at positions 133 to 334 of the family's 1533-position model. The record is from RNAcentral.